This 329-nucleotide RNase P RNA is filed under the name bovine gut metagenome. RNAcentral's name for it is "Bacterial RNase P class B". It matches the Rfam family "Bacterial RNase P class B". From Rfam's summary of the family: Ribonuclease P (RNase P) is a ubiquitous endoribonuclease, found in archaea, bacteria and eukarya as well as chloroplasts and mitochondria. The record is from RNAcentral.
AAACGCUAUGUAAUACAUAGAGGAAAGUCCAUGCUCGCACACUCUGUGAUGGGUGUAGUGUUCGUGCUAGGGGAAAAAAUAACCCUAGGUAGCUUAUGCUAACGGAAGUGAAUAAACCUAAGUCUUUGAUAUGGUUUUAGUAACUAUAAAGGGCCAUAGUGACGAAGAAAGGAGAAAUCCUGGAAGUGGAACGUUGGUAACCCCCUCGAGCGAGAAACUCAAAUUUGGUAGAGGAGCUUCAGUUAGAGAAUUAAGAAUCAAGCUGGGGACUAGGAAACUAGUAGAUAAAUGUUUGUCACCUCGAAAGAGGUACAGAACAUGGCUUAUAA